This 253-nucleotide ribosomal RNA is filed under the name uncultured bacterium. RNAcentral's name for it is "partial 16S ribosomal RNA". It matches the Rfam family "Bacterial small subunit ribosomal RNA", at positions 524 to 776 of the family's 1533-position model. The record is from RNAcentral.
UACGAAGGGGGCUAGCGUUGUUCGGAAUUACUGGGCGUAAAGCGCACGUAGGCGGAUAUUUAAGUCAGGGGUGAAAUCCCAGAGCUCAACUCUGGAACUGCCUUUGAUACUGGGUAUCUGGAGUAUGGAAGAGGUGAGUGGAAUUCCGAGUGUAGAGGUGAAAUUCGUAGAUAUUCGGAGGAACACCAGUGGCGAAGGCGGCUCACUGGUCCAUUACUGACGCUGAGGCACGAAAGCGUGGGGAGCAAACAGG